RNAcentral lists this ribosomal RNA (253 nucleotides) under uncultured bacterium. RNAcentral describes it as "partial 16S ribosomal RNA". It matches the Rfam family "Bacterial small subunit ribosomal RNA", at positions 524 to 776 of the family's 1533-position model. The record is from RNAcentral.
UACGUAGGGGGCAAGCGUUGUCCGGAAUCAUUGGGCGUAAAGCGCGUGUAGGCGGCUCGGUAAGUCCGCUCUGAAAGUCCAGGGCUCAACCCUGGGAUGCGGGUGGAUACUGCCGGGCUCGAGUCCGGAAGAGGCGAAUGGAAUUCCCGGUGUAGCGGUGAAAUGCGCAGAUAUCGGGAAGAACACCCGUGGCGAAGGCGGUUCUCUGGGACGGUACUGACGCUGAGACGCGAAAGCGUGGGGAGCGAACAGG